AUGGUAGAGGCCCUGGUGUGCACAAGCGACUGGUUAAAAUCUGAUCCACCUAACCUAUACAAGGAUCCCAGUGAAGAUGAGCUCGCCAUUUUCGUUGAGUUGGAGGAGAUUGAGAGAGAAAACAGUUUCAAUCAAGGACAGGAGGCAGCAACAACCCCAAUAGAGCUUACUGGAAGCUCCAGUUUAAACUACUGUUUGUGUCUUCAUACUGUCACGAAGCGAACCGAAACUCACAACCAGGAAGUUCUUGUAUUUUCAUUCCUUCAUCUUCCCAAUGACGAUGGUAAUACCAUUCCUAAUGUUGUGGAUGUCUGGAUGACCUUGUAUUUCCUCCUUCCGUUGGUCUAGACAAUAGGGGCCCAUUUAUUGAGCUUGAGUAUCUGGAAUCCAUAGACAUUAUAGGUCAUUGUGAUGGGAUUAUAUGUCUAUCACUCUAUACCGGUGACCUUAUCUUAUGCAAUUCAGCGAUCAAAGAGUUUAAGAUUGUUCCGGAAUCGACGAUCCUUCAAGAGUGGACAGGAUGUGCUAUGGGAUUUGGUUAUGAUCCUAAAUCUGGUGAUUACACAAUUGUUAAUGUUGUAUCUUAUGAUGAAGAAGUAUAUGAAGAACGCCUUGUUCAUUCUACUCCCAAAGCAGAAGUAUAUACACUAGGCACUGAUUCUUGGAGAUCGACACUGAUAUUUUAGAGACAGAAACUGCUAUAUUUUGGCCAUUCUUUUUUCAAAUGUAUUUCAAGGGGAUUUUCUAUUGGUUGGGAUAUGAGCAAAACAAGGAGUUCAUAUCUUGCUACAGGAGACAAGAAGAAGAAUACGUUAGACAAGUGAUUGUGUUGUUUGAUACAAGUGAUGAGGUAUUUCGUAGCAUGUUGCUUCCGGAUAGUUUCUACGAGCCAUCAUUUGGAGUAUAUACAAUGCGCCUGGGAAGGUGGAAAGAAUCCAUUGCUCUUUAUGGCUUUCAUUGUUUUACCUAUUUCGAAAUAUGGGUGAAUGAUGGUAAUGGUUCUUGGACAAAACACGCAACAUUUGAGCCUCUAGAGGAUUACUUUGUAUUAUCAUUGGCAUUUUGGAAGAGCGAAGAGGUUAUCAUGGUUGCCAAUGAUGGACGUAUAGUCUCUUACAAUGUUGCUACUGUAAAGAUCAAGUAUCUUCCCAUUCAUGGUGUAUAUCCAGGAUCGUUUGAAGCUGUUGUAUGUUUGAAUAGUAUAGUUUCAGUUAACAGAGGCAACAAGCUUGCGAGUGAAGAUGUAUGA
Fragaria vesca subsp. vesca is the source of this 1249-nucleotide RNA transcript. RefSeq lists it as uncharacterized. Lineage: Eukaryota; Viridiplantae; Streptophyta; Magnoliopsida; Rosales; Rosaceae. The transcript is spliced from 4 exons. The record is from RefSeq and is a predicted model, not a curated record.